UACAGAGGUCUCGAGCGUUAGGCGGAAUCACUGGGCGUAAAGGGUGUGUAGGCGGCUUUGCAAGUCGGGUGUGAAAGCCCUCGGCUCAACCGAGGAAGUGCGCCCGAAACUGCAGAGCUUGAGUACCGGAGAGGGUGGCGGAAUUCCCCAAGUAGAGGUGAAAUUCGUAGAUAUGGGGAGGAACACCGGUUGCGAAGGCGGCCCCCUGGACGGAUACUGACGCUGAGACGCGAAAGCGUGGGGAGCAAACAGG
RNAcentral lists this ribosomal RNA (253 nucleotides) under uncultured bacterium. RNAcentral describes it as "partial 16S ribosomal RNA". It matches the Rfam family "Bacterial small subunit ribosomal RNA", at positions 524 to 776 of the family's 1533-position model. The record is from RNAcentral.